Molecule: ribosomal RNA, 497 nt
Filed under: uncultured bacterium
Lineage: Bacteria
Description: partial 16S ribosomal RNA
Rfam family: Bacterial small subunit ribosomal RNA
Source: RNAcentral
GACGAACGCUGGCGGCGUGCCUAAUACAUGCAAGUCGAGCGCUGGGAGUUGGAACUUGUACCGACUGGAUUAGCAGCGAACGGGUGAGUAACACGUGGGGAAUCUGCCUUUGAGCGGGGGACAACAUCUGGAAACGAAUGCUAAUACCGCAUAAAAACUUUAAACACAAGUUUUAAGUUUGAAAGAUGCACUUGCAUCACUCAAAGAUGAUCCCGCGUUGGAUUAGCUAGUUUGGUAAGUAAAGGCCCACCAAGGCGAAGAUACAUAGCCGACCUGGGGGGGUGGACGGGCCAAACGGGAACGGGACAACGGUCCAGAUCCCUACGGGGGGCGCCGUAGGGGAACUUUGGCAAAUGAGCAAAGUCUGAACGGACCAAGGCGGGUGAGUGGAGAAGGUUCUCCGAAUGUAAAAAUCCGUUGGUAGGGAAGGAAGAUAGUGAGAGUUGAAAGCUCAUAACGUGACGGUACCUAACCAGAAAGCGACGGCUAACUACGUG